GAUGAACGCUGGCGGCGUGCCUAAUACAUGCAAGUCGAGCGAACGGACGAGAAGCUUGCUUCUCUGAUGUUAGCGGCGGACGGGUGAGUAACACGUGGAUAACCUACCUAUAAGACUGGGAUAACUUCGGGAAACCGGAGCUAAUACCGGAUAAUAUUUUGAACCGCAUGGUUCAAAAGUGAAAGACGGUCUUGCUGUCACUUAUAGAUGGAUCCGCGCUGCAUUAGCUAGUUGGUAAGGUAACGGCUUACCAAGGCAACGAUGCAUAGCCGACCUGAGAGGGUGAUCGGCCACACUGGAACUGAGACACGGUCCAGACUCCUACGGGAGGCAGCAGUAGGGAAUCUUCCGCAAUGGGCGAAAGCCUGACGGAGCAACGCCGCGUGAGUGAUGAAGGUCUUCGGAUCGUAAAACUCUGUUAUUAGGGAAGAACAUAUGUGUAAGUAACUGUGCACAUCUUGACGGUACCUAAUCAGAAAGCCACGGCUAACUACGUGCCAGCAGCCGCGGUAAUACGUAGGUGGCAAGCGUUAUCCGGAAUUAUUGGGCGUAAAGCGCGCGUAGCGGUUUUUUAAGUCUGAUGUGAAAGCCCACGGCUCAACUGUGGAGGGUCAUUGGAAACUGGAAAACUUGAGUGCAGAAGAGGAAAGUGGAAUUCCAUGUGUAGCGGUGAAAUGCGCAGAGAUAUGGAGGAACACCAGUGGCGAAGGCGACUUUCUGGUCUGUAACUGACGCUGAUGUGCGAAAGCGUGGGGAUCAAACAGGAUUAGAUACCCUGGUAGUCCACGCCGUAAACGAUGAGUGCUAAGUGUUAGGGGGUUUCCGCCCCUUAGUGCUGCAGCUAACGCAUUAAGCACUCCGCCUGGGGAGUACGACCGCAAGGUUGAAACUCAAAGGAAUUGACGGGGACCCGCACAAGCGGUGGAGCAUGUGGUUUAAUUCGAAGCAACGCGAAGAACCUUACCAAAUCUUGACAUCCUUUGACAACUCUAGAGAUAGAGCCUUCCCCUUCGGGGGACAAAGUGACAGGUGGUGCAUGGUUGUCGUCAGCUCGUGUCGUGAGAUGUUGGGUUAAGUCCCGCAACGAGCGCAACCCUUAAGCUUAGUUGCCAUCAUUAAGUUGGGCACUCUAAGUUGACUGCCGGUGACAAACCGGAGGAAGGUGGGGAUGACGUCAAAUCAUCAUGCCCCUUAUGAUUUGGGCUACACACGUGCUACAAUGGACAAUACAAAGGGCAGCGAAACCGCGAGGUCAAGCAAAUCCCAUAAAGUUGUUCUCAGUUCGGAUUGUAGUCUGCAACUCGACUACAUGAAGCUGGAAUCGCUAGUAAUCGUAGAUCAGCAUGCUACGGUGAAUACGUUCCCGGGUCU
RNAcentral lists this ribosomal RNA (1371 nucleotides) under uncultured bacterium. Its description in RNAcentral is "bacterial SSU rRNA". It matches the Rfam family "Bacterial small subunit ribosomal RNA", at positions 28 to 1381 of the family's 1533-position model. The record is from RNAcentral.